Molecule: ribosomal RNA, 483 nt
Filed under: uncultured bacterium
Lineage: Bacteria
Description: partial 16S ribosomal RNA
Rfam family: Bacterial small subunit ribosomal RNA
Source: RNAcentral
GAUGAACGCUGGCGGCGUGCCUAACACAUGCAAGUCGAACGGAGUCGUUUUGGAAAUCUCUUCGGAGAUGGAAUUCUCGACUUAGUGGCGGACGGGUGAGUAACGCGUGAGCAAUCUGCCUUUAAGAGGGGGAUAACAGUCGGAAACGGCUGCUAAUACCGCAUAAAGCAUUAAAUUCGCAUGUUUUUGAUGCCAAAGGAGCAAUCCGCUUUUAGAUGAGCUCGCGUCUGAUUAGCUAGUUGGCGGGGUAACGGCCCACCAAGGGGACGAUCAGUAGCCGGACUGAGAGGUUGAACGGCCACAUUGGGACUGAGACACGGCCCAGACUCCUACGGGAGGCAGCAGUGGGGAAUAUUGCGCAAUGGGGGAAACCCUGACGCAGCAACGCCGCGUGAUUGAAGAAGGCCUUCGGGUUGUAAAGAUCUUUAAUCAGGGACGAAACAAAUGACGGUACCUGAAGAAUAAGCGCCGGCUAACUACGUG